CGGCCGCCCCACGCCGCCGCCAGGUGGUGCCGUCGCUCCGCGCCGCGGGCAGAUCAGAGGGGGAGGGCAGCUGGGUGGGACUUCCCCGACGGGGCGGACGGAUGGACCGCGAGCGGCCGCGCUGCCCUCUUGCUGUGGGUUUGGCUGUGCCCAUCCCGCCGUGGGGAGCAGGGAAUGCUCGCUCCGAGGCAGUUAAGCGCGAGUGAGCAGCCAGAGGUGGGGCUGCUCUGCCUUCUGCACGCUGGGUUUUAUACCGCCUGGAGUAUUAAGGGAUGAAGUCAUGCAGAAGGGCUGUUUUUAUUCCCCAUCGAAUCGGCUUCGCUGUGAGCGGUGACAUAAGCACAGCCCCUGCCUAUCAGUACAAUCGAGGCAGAACCUGGGAACCUGACAGAGAGCUGAACCCGGCUGCUGCCCCCUGGGCUGGCAAUGAAUGAAUGACUGAAGCAAUGAAUGAAUGAAGCCCCCUCCCAGCCUGGCUGCUCACUGAGAUCAACUCUUGUGGGUGUAUACUUUAAAUCCACUUGUCUGCUCGUUUUAUCCCCUUUGAAUGGGGGAAAUUAAUCUGGGUGCUGCAGCAGGAUGGAGCCAGCAGAGGGAAUGCGAGAGCACUGAUGCAACUCCAUUGUGAGCCUCAGGAAUGGCCACUGGGUGACUCCUAUUAUUAUGAUUAUUCCUAAGUGUUGGUGAUCCAGGCACAUCAAUGAGAGCAAGGAACAGCCAUCAGUCUGGUAAAUGUUGGGGAUGCUGUUAUUGGAGAGGUGUCCCCAUUUGGGAGCCCAUCCCUGAGCACAUCUGUCCCAUGCUUGGUGCCAUCGUGGCCCCCCCAGCCGCAGUGCCACUACACUGCACCUUGUGCAGAGCAUCCCUGCCCUCCCUGUGCCACAGGGCACAGCGUCUCUUUGGGGCUGAGAGCCCCCAGUACAGCUCAGUGACCACCAGUAUCACCAAUUUGGGACCCAGUGGGACCCAUCACCAGGGGGACGGUGGUGGCAGUGCUCCUUUCCUGGCCCAGUUCCUGAUAUCCCAUCUCUGUGGAUGUUUGGGACUAUUUGCCCUGGCAGAUGGUAUCUCAGUGCUGUCCUUUUGGGUGACAAACAGGGCUGGUUAAACACGGUCAUCCCUCAAACAGGUUUAAGUGGGUUUUGCUGUAAAAUAAAUUUAUUUCAACAAAACCUUUUUUGAUAAAUUAAACCAGCACCGCUCUGUGUAUAAUUUCUAUAAACAAUCUUCCCCAGUGUUUACCUAACCUGGGCACACAGAAACUCUCGCACAUUAAAUAUGAGAUGGAAAAGGGCUAUGAAAGUUUUACAUGCAUCUUUUCACAUCAGCGUGCCAUGAGGAAAUGCUUGGCUGGUUUGGGGCUGCUGUUGGAGGAGCAG
Long non-coding RNA from Tympanuchus pallidicinctus (lesser prairie-chicken), 1379 nucleotides. RefSeq lists it as uncharacterized. The transcript has 3 exons. NCBI's taxonomy places the organism in Eukaryota, Metazoa, Chordata, Aves, Galliformes, Phasianidae. The record is from RefSeq and is a predicted model, not a curated record.